RNAcentral lists this long non-coding RNA (596 nucleotides) under Homo sapiens (human). RNAcentral's name for it is "PREDICTED lncRNA (TCONS_00025357)". The record is from RNAcentral. Lineage: Eukaryota; Metazoa; Chordata; Mammalia; Primates; Hominidae.
AAGGUGUCUGGGUAUCAGAUUCUCUCUUCCCAGGAAGUGCCUUUGGAAAUUUACUUACUGCCUACUGAGAAGCCCUGCAAGCUGAAAGGCUAGCUCUGAAGGUAUGUUCAUCAACAUCGUAGAAGAAGAGGACACGUGUUUCGCACUGCACUCUUUAAGAGGAGAAACGGAAAUAACAGGGAAAAGUUUUUAAAACUUCAGCAGGUUUCCCUUUGCAGUUUCUGACUUAGCCAGAAGACAUCAGGCAAAAGGAACAUCUCCAUGUGAGCCAACAUUUCAGAAAGGCUUCAGGGGUGUUGGAGAAUGAAUGCAGUGAUUUUCUGAAGAAAAGUAGGGGAGUAUUCAAAUUAAUAAAGAGAACCAAUGUUAUUUUAUCUUAUCUACUUGUUUAUCUCCUGUAGGGAAAUCUUUUUCAGAUAAUAUUUAUGGAACAGAAAACAUGUAUUUACUUGAAACUCUGCUGUCAUGUUGAAUAUUGAUUCUGGAGUCCAUUUUCCAUUGAAAAGAUUUUGAUACUAAUAUGCUAUACAAACAGAAUUUUGGUGGAGAGGGUGUCUUAGUCUGUUUUGUGUUGCUGUAACCUGAGAAUACCUGAG